GACGAACGCUGGCGGCGUGCCUAAUACAUGCAAGUAGAACGCUGAAGGAGGAGCUUGCUUCUCUGGAUGAGUUGCGAACGGGUGAGUAACGCGUAGGUAACCUGCCUGGUAGCGGGGGAUAACUAUUGGAAACGAUAGCUAAUACCGCAUAAGAGUAGAUGUCGCAUGACAUUUGCUUAAAAGUUGCAAUUGCAUCACUACCAGAUGGACCUGCGUUGUAUUAGCUAGUUGGUGAGGUAACGGCUCACCAAGGCAACGAUACAUAGCCGACCUGAGAGGGUGAUCGGCCACACUGGGACUGAGACACGGCCCAGACUCCUACGGGAGGCAGCAGUAGGGAAUCUUCGGCAAUGGACGGAAGUCUGACCGAGCAACGCCGCGUGAGUGAAGAAGGUUUUCGGAUCGUAAAGCUCUGUUGUAAGAGAAGAACGAGUGUGAGAGUGGAAAGUUCACACUGUGACGGUAGCUUACCAGAAAGGGACGGCUAACUACGUG
RNAcentral lists this ribosomal RNA (495 nucleotides) under uncultured bacterium. Its description in RNAcentral is "partial 16S ribosomal RNA". It matches the Rfam family "Bacterial small subunit ribosomal RNA", at positions 28 to 507 of the family's 1533-position model. The record is from RNAcentral.